This 494-nucleotide ribosomal RNA is filed under the name uncultured bacterium. RNAcentral's name for it is "partial 16S ribosomal RNA". It matches the Rfam family "Bacterial small subunit ribosomal RNA", at positions 28 to 507 of the family's 1533-position model. The record is from RNAcentral.
GACGAACGCUGGCGGCGUGCUUAACACAUGCAAGUCGAACGGUGAAGCGCCUUCCUUUUUGGUGGGUGUGGAUGAGUGGCGAACGGGUGAGUAACACGUGAGUAACCUGCCCCCUUCUUCUGGAUAACCGCAUGAAAGUGUGGCUAAUACGGGAUAUUCUGGGUCUGUCGCAUGAUGGGUCUGGGAAAGAUAUUGUUUCGGUGGGGGAUGGGCUCGCGGCUUAUCAGCUUGUUGGUGGGGUGAUGGCCUACCAAGGCGGUGACGGGUAGCCGGCCUGAGAGGGUGGACGGUCACACUGGGACUGAGACACGGCCCAGACUCCUACGGGAGGCAGCAGUGGGGAAUAUUGCACAAUGGGCGCAAGCCUGAUGCAGCGACGCCGCGUGAGGGAUGGAGGCCUUCGGGUUGUGAACCUCUUUCGCCAGUGAAGCAGGCCUGCCUCGUUUGUGGGUGGGUUGACGGUAGCUGGAGAAGAAGCGCCGGCUAACUACGUG